CCUACGGGAGGCAGCAGUGGGGAAUAUUGGUCAAUGGGCGUAAGCCUGAACCAGCCAAGUCGCGUGAGGGAUGAAGGUUCUAUGGAUCGUAAACCUCUUUUAUAAGGGAAUAAAGUGUGGGACGUGUCCUGUUUUGUAUGUACCUUAUGAAUAAGGAUCGGCUAACUCCGUGCCAGCAGCCGCGGUAAUACGGAGGAUCCGAGCGUUAUCCGGAUUUAUUGGGUUUAAAGGGUGCGUAGGCGGCCUUUUAAGUCAGCGGUGAAAGUCUGUGGCUCAACCAUAGAAUUGCCGUUGAAACUGGGAGGCUUGAGUAUGUUUGAGGCAGGCGGAAGGCGUGGUGUAGCGGUGAAAUGCUUAGAUAUCACGCAGAACCCCGAUUGCGAAGGCAGCCUGCCAAGCCAUGACUGACGCUGAUGCACGAAAGCGUGGGGAUCAAACAGGAUUAGAUACCCCGGUAGUC
RNAcentral lists this ribosomal RNA (460 nucleotides) under uncultured bacterium. Its description in RNAcentral is "partial 16S ribosomal RNA". It matches the Rfam family "Bacterial small subunit ribosomal RNA", at positions 338 to 795 of the family's 1533-position model. The record is from RNAcentral.